AGGCCUAAUACAUGCAAGUCGAGCGCACCUUCGGGUGAGCGGCGGACGGGUGAGUAACGCGUGGGAACGUGCCCUUUGGUUCGGAACAACACAGGGAAACUUGUGCUAAUACCGAAUGUGCCCUUCGGGGGAAAGAUUUAUCGCCAUUGGAGCGGCCCGCGUUGGAUUAGCUAGUUGGUGGGGUAAAGGCCCACCAAGGCGACGAUCCAUAGCUGGUCUGAGAGGAUGAUCAGCCACACUGGGACUGAGACACGGCCCAGACUCCUACGGGAGGCAGCAGUAGGGAGUCUUGCGCAAUGGGCGAAAGCCUGACGCAGCCAUGCCGCGUGAAUGAUGAAGGUCUUAGGAUUGUAAAAUUCUUUCACCGGGGAAGAUAAUGACGGUACCCGGAGAAGAAGCCCCGGCUAACUUCGUGCCAGCAGCCGCGGUAAUACGAAGGGGGCUAGCGUUGCUCGGAAUUACUGGGCGUAAAGGGCGCGUAGGCGGACAGUUUAGUCAGAGGUGAAAGCCCAGGGCUCAACCUUGGAACUGCCUUUGAUACUGGCUGUCUUGAGUUCGGGAGAGGUGAGUGGAAUGCCGAGUGUAGAGGUGAAAUUCGUGGAUAUUCGGCGGAACACCAGUGGCGAAGGCGACUCACUGGCCCGAUACUGACGCUGAGGCGCGAAAGCGUGGGG
RNAcentral lists this ribosomal RNA (674 nucleotides) under uncultured Alphaproteobacteria bacterium. Its description in RNAcentral is "bacterial SSU rRNA". It matches the Rfam family "Bacterial small subunit ribosomal RNA", at positions 44 to 766 of the family's 1533-position model. Lineage: Bacteria; Pseudomonadati; Pseudomonadota; Alphaproteobacteria. The record is from RNAcentral.